Molecule: long non-coding RNA, 384 nt
Filed under: Homo sapiens (human)
Lineage: Eukaryota; Metazoa; Chordata; Mammalia; Primates; Hominidae
Description: non-protein coding lnc-NOS2-13:1
Source: RNAcentral
AUGCUGGAGGCUGGAGCCGCGGGAGCGCGGCUCGCCUCGCUGCGGUUGUUGGCAGCGACGGAGAUAGGAGUGCGGCUGGAGCGAUGUGCCAGGUGGUGCCAGUGCCAGCUAAUCACCUCCCUGUUGGCAGCACCGUGAACACUGUGCACCUGUCUUCAGAUGGCACUUAAAGCAGAGAAGCCUGCUGUGUGGCUGUGGGAGUCAUCAGAGAGGUGGCAGUGGAGGUUUGUUAUCGACCCAAUCAUUACAUCGCUACCCAAGCGUUAGCUCUGUUCAACGCCCUUGUGGAGUCCAGGACUUAGAGAGAGGAUCUCCAAGCAGAAGCCCCCAGCCCACGUGAGAACAGGGAGACCCUUGUGCCCUUAACUGUUUUCCAUAGUACUG